RNAcentral lists this ribosomal RNA (411 nucleotides) under uncultured bacterium. RNAcentral's name for it is "bacterial SSU rRNA". It matches the Rfam family "Bacterial small subunit ribosomal RNA", at positions 362 to 770 of the family's 1533-position model. The record is from RNAcentral.
UAUUGGUCAAUGGCCGGAAGGCUGAACCAGCCAAGUCGCGUGAGGGAAUAAGGCCCUAUGGGUCGUAAACCUCUUUUGUCAGGGAGCAAAGGCGUCCACGUGUGGACGAAAGGAGAGUACCUGAAGAAAAAGCAUCGGCUACCUCCGUGCCAGCAGCCGCGGUAAUACGGAGGACGCGAGCGUUAGCCGGAUUUAUUGGGUUUAAAGGGUGCGUAGGCGGAGUGUCAAGUCAGCGGUAAAAUUUCGGGGCUCAACCCCGUCGUGCCGUUGAAACUGACACUCUUGAGUGAGUGAGAAGUAAGCGGAAUGCGUGGUGUAGCGGUGAAAUGCAUAGAUAUCACGCAGAACCCCGAUUGCGAAGGCAGCCUUCCGGCGCCCUACUGACGCUGAGGCACGAAAGUGCGGGGAUCG